GGUCCCAUCGUCUAGUGGUUUAGGACACCGGCCUCUCACGCCGGAAACGCGAGUUCGAAUCUCGCUGGGACCA
Molecule: transfer RNA, 73 nt
Filed under: Deltaproteobacteria bacterium
Lineage: Bacteria; Pseudomonadati; Myxococcota; Myxococcia
Also listed under: 2 other names
Description: tRNA-Glu
Rfam family: tRNA
About the family: Transfer RNA (tRNA) molecules are approximately 80 nucleotides in length.
Source: RNAcentral